Molecule: long non-coding RNA, 92 nt
Organism: Bradysia coprophila
Lineage: Eukaryota; Metazoa; Arthropoda; Insecta; Diptera; Sciaridae
Source: RefSeq, a predicted model, not a curated record
ACUACAACUCAUUGUCGUCCCUGAUGAGUUCCCCAAUGUGUUUGUCUUCACUUUACAUUUCACGGGAAUUGUAAAGAUGAACUCCGAAGUUU